Molecule: microRNA precursor, 207 nt
Organism: Oryza rufipogon (brownbeard rice)
Lineage: Eukaryota; Viridiplantae; Streptophyta; Magnoliopsida; Poales; Poaceae
Rfam family: MIR812 microRNA precursor family
Source: Rfam
AAAAAAAACAAACCUUGAUUUCCGUGUCCAACGUUUGACUGUUCAUCUUAUUUAAAAAAAUUAUAAAAAAAAAUAAAAAAAUAAGUUACGCAUAAAGUAUUAAUCAUGUUUUAUUAUCUAACAACAACGGAAAUACUAAUUAUAAAAAAAAUUUCAUAUAAGACGGACAGUCAAACGUUGGCACGGGAACCCACGGUUUACCUUUUU